GGGAUAAUCGGGAGAAAUCCCGUCUAAUACCGCGUAAUGCCGCGGGGCUGCAUGGCCCUGCGGCCAAAGGGAGCGAUUCCGGCAACGGAUGGGCAUGCGUGACAUUAGCUAGUUGGCGGGGCAACGGCCCACCAAGGCGACGAUGUCUAGGGGUUCUGAGAGGAAGGUCCCCCACACUGGUACUGAGACACGGACCAGACUCCUACGGGAGGCAGCAGUGAGGAAUAUUGGUCAAUGGGCGCGAGCCUGAACCAGCCAAGUCGCGUGAGGGAUGACGGCCCUACGGGUUGUAAACCUCUUUUGUCGGGGAGCAAAUUCCGCCACGUGUGGCGGAGUCGAGAGUACCCGAAGAAAAAGCAUCGGCUAACUCCGUGCCAGCAGCCGCGGUAAUACGGAGGAUGCGAGCGUUAUCCGGAUUUAUUGGGUUUAAAGGGUGCGUAGGCGGACUGUCAAGUCAGCGGUAAAAUACGGGGGCUCAACCUCCGCCCGCCGUUGAAACUGACGGUCUUGAGUGGGCGAGAAGUAUGCGGAAUGCGUGGUGUAGCGGUGAAAUGCAUAGAUAUCACGCAGAACUCCGAUUGCGAAGGCAGCAUACCGGCGCCCGACUGACGCUGAAGCACGAAAGCGUGGGUAUCGAACAGGAUUAGAUACCCUGGUAGUCCACGCAGUAAACGAUGAGUACUAGCUGUCCGGG
Molecule: ribosomal RNA, 694 nt
Filed under: uncultured bacterium
Lineage: Bacteria
Description: bacterial SSU rRNA
Rfam family: Bacterial small subunit ribosomal RNA
Source: RNAcentral